RNAcentral lists this ribosomal RNA (253 nucleotides) under uncultured bacterium. RNAcentral describes it as "partial 16S ribosomal RNA". It matches the Rfam family "Bacterial small subunit ribosomal RNA", at positions 524 to 776 of the family's 1533-position model. The record is from RNAcentral.
UACGGAGGGGGCGAGCGUUAUUCGGAAUUAUUGGGCGUAAAGAGCUCGUAGGCGGUUUGUUGCGUCGGCUGUGAAAUCCCGAGGCUCAACCUCGGGUCUGCAGUCGAUACGAGCAAACUAGAGUGUUGCAGGGGAGACUGGAAUUCCUGGUGUAGCGGUGAAAUGCGCAGAUAUCAGGAGGAACACCGGUGGCGAAGGCGGGUCUCUGGGCAACAACUGACGCUGAGGAGCGAAAGCGUGGGGAGCGAACAGG